GGACUACUAGGGUAUCUAAUCCUGUUUGAUCCCCACGCUUUCGCGCCUCAGCGUCAGUUGUGUGCCAGAUAGCCGCCUUCGCCACCGGUGUUCCUCCUAAUAUCUACGAAUUUCACCUCUACAUUAGGAAUUCCGCUAUCCCCUCACACACUCCAGGCUGACAGUUUCAAAGGCAGUUCCGGAGUUAAGCUCCGGGAUUUCACCCCUGACUUGACAGCCCGCCUACGCGCGCUUUACGCCCAGUAAUUCCGAACAACGCUAGCACCCUUCGUAUUACCGCGGCUGCUGGCAC
Molecule: ribosomal RNA, 292 nt
Filed under: uncultured bacterium
Lineage: Bacteria
Description: partial 16S ribosomal RNA
Source: RNAcentral